GAUAAACGCUGGCGGCGUGCCUUAUGCAUGCAAGUCGUACGCACCGCAAGGUGAGUGGCGAACGGGUGAGUAACACGUAGGAACCUGCCCGGAAGUGGGGGAUAACUGUCCGAAAGGAUAGCUAAUACCGCAUACGGUCUUCGGACCAAAGCUUAAUUGCGCUUUCGGAGGGGCCGUGCGGCGGAUUAGCUAGUUGGUGGGGUAACGGCCUACCAAGGCGACGAUCCGUAGCUGGUCUGAGAGGAUGGUCAGCCACACUGGGACUGAGAUACGGCCCAGACUCCUACGGGAGGCAGCAGCAAGGAAUUUUGCGCAAUGGACGAAAGUCUGACGCAGCAACGCCGCGUGGGGGAUGAAGGCC
This 361-nucleotide ribosomal RNA is filed under the name uncultured bacterium. RNAcentral's name for it is "bacterial SSU rRNA". It matches the Rfam family "Bacterial small subunit ribosomal RNA", at positions 28 to 416 of the family's 1533-position model. The record is from RNAcentral.